AAAAAUAUCUGAUUUUUGCGGGGUCCUGUAAAUGUAUUUUAUCCAACCAGGCAAGCAGAUAUUCAUAACAAAUAAAGUGCUCAGUUUAAAAAAAAAAAAAAAAAGUGGUUACUCUUCACGCUUGAGCAAUAUGUAAAAUACACUUACCAAAUGAGCGGAACAGACGCAUCCCUGCACGUCUGAUCAACUCUGAGUUUGUUGUAUUGAUCCAAUGUACAUAGAGCUGUGGUUAGUGUCCAGCACCCUGGUUGUUGAUUUCACACCAGUCUGGUCAGCUGAGAUGAUUGAAGGUGUCAGAGGAGUUUUGGGGAGUCUUCUCAAUCAGCACCACACAAAAGUUUGUUAACUCCAUAGUGUAUGGCGUGCCAACAGACCCAUAUGCUAUUAAUUUUGAAUAGCUAUGAACUUUUAUAAAUACACUCAAAUAUCAUUCUCCUUAGUUAUGGAUAAAUAAAUGAACUUACCUUAAAUUUCUGAUUGUACCUUUCGACAAGCAACCUUUAUUGGUUUGAUAAGUUUAAGUUUUUAGAAGUAAGGAAAUAUAAAGGAUAUGGUCAGGAUUAGUGUAGACAGAGAGGGUGAAUCAUUCAUAUGUGGGUGCCUACACUACAUGCCUCUUGCCAGCCCAAUAUAAAUCAGUAUCCAGUUGCCCCCCCAGUUUGUGAUAAUAGGUAGAUACAAUAUCAGAUUUGUCUAGUCGGGGAUGCCUGUCACUCCAGGGCUGCAUCUUCUAUGUGCCAGUAUAGGACCACCUGAUUAACCAUUUUCCUCGAUCUGAGCUGCACUCUCACCACUGAGAUUAUGUCUGCUGUGAUAGAGCAUGACCUGUGUCAGUCCAAUCUAAAGAAUGGCUACUACAUCUUCCCCAUGACCAGCAGUAGCAACAUUUCAAUCCAGCCAGCAUGGUUUAAGGUUGGAGCUAGGGUUAGGGUUAGGUGUGGGGUUGGAGCUAGGGUUAGGGUUAGGGUUAGGGUUGGAGCUAGGGUUAGGGUUAGGGUUAGGGUUGGAGUUAGGGUUAGUGUUGGAGCUAGGGUUAGGGUUGGGCUUGGAGCUAGGAUUUUUCUGAGUGCAAUGAACCAACUCCCGAGUCUCUAGGACGUUCCUAAAAAAAUUUGAUUUUUUUCCCAUAGGAAUGCAUGGGUUAGGGUUAGGGUUACGGUUGGAGCUAGGGUUAGGGUUAGGUGUGGGGUUGGAGCUAGGGUUAGGGUUAG
Xyrichtys novacula (pearly razorfish) is the source of this 1211-nucleotide non-coding RNA. Lineage: Eukaryota; Metazoa; Chordata; Actinopteri; Labriformes; Labridae. The record is from the annotation of a GenBank genome assembly.